RNAcentral lists this long non-coding RNA (929 nucleotides) under Olea europaea subsp. europaea. Lineage: Eukaryota; Viridiplantae; Streptophyta; Magnoliopsida; Lamiales; Oleaceae. The record is from RNAcentral.
CUAAAAGUUAUUUUUCUCAAAAUUAAGUCUCUAAUUUUAUUUUACUUAUAUUGAAACCAGCUAUCAAAUCAAGACAUACUUUUUUCACCUUGAUACGUUAAUCAAAGGUCAUAAGAAAAUUAAUGUUCUACAUUCUUAAACAAUUAAAUGUAGAGUUCUAAACUUGAUUAUUUGAUCAAGAUACCCUAUUUAUUCAAAGCAAACUUUCUGCUUUGAUUUGAUAUACGGAUGCUCCUUUUUGUUCAUAUCUUAUUAUUUCAGUAAUAAAUUAUCAAGAAUCCUGUCAAUGAAAACCAUUCCUUUGUGAACGAUUUUAGGAGCAUUGAAAGUGAUAUGUCAACUGCAAUGCUAAAUAUGAUUUAUUUAUACAAAUCAUAAUCAAAUUCAUUAAAAAAUUCAACUUAUAUGAAUAGCAUAAACCCUGUGUCUGCACCAACAACAGAAAUAUGUCAUUCACGUAAACUACAAACAAUCAAAUCUAUUCUAUCGAUCAAUCAUAAAUUUCAAAAUGCGUACCUUUAAUUGCAACAUAGAAUACACUCCGGCACAUCACCAAACAAAAUUUCAAAGAAAUCUAGCCGAUAUCUACACCAUUCAAAAUUGAAUAUUAAAUUGAAACUAAAUAAACAAAUAAAUAAAAUCAAAUAGAUGGGUGAGAGCUCAUAUUCUAUGGGUGUAAAAAUGGUCUGUCAUGCCGUGGCAACAGCAUUCAGUACGAGGAAUUACUUUAUAAUCAUCGCUACCCACCACAAAAUUUUCAACUUUACGAAAAAAUAACGAUCAUGAUCAUGUUAUAUCGUAACAGAAUCGAAUUAGAUGCCAAACUGGCAGAAAAUUCAAUAGAAAAUAAAUCAUAAUGCGUAAAGAAUAAUACAAAGAGGUGAGGCAGCGACAGGAUUUAUAGACAAAGAAGGGGAAUAGGGGACCUG